Molecule: ribosomal RNA, 366 nt
Filed under: uncultured bacterium
Lineage: Bacteria
Description: partial 16S ribosomal RNA
Rfam family: Bacterial small subunit ribosomal RNA
Source: RNAcentral
CCUACGGGGGGCAGCAGUGAGGAAUAUUGGGCAAUGGGCGCGAGCCUGAACCAGCAAAGUAGCGUGAAGGAUGACGGCCCUACGGGUGGUAAACUGCGGUUAUAAAGGAAUAAAGUGAGGCACGUGGGCCUUUUUGUAUGUACCUUAUGAAUAAGGAUCGGCUAACUCCGUGCCAGCAGCCGCGGUAAUACGGAGGAUCCGAGCGUUAUCCGGAUUUAGUGGGUUUACAGGGAGCGUAGAUGGGUUGUUAAGUCAGUUGUGAAAGUUUGCGGCUCAACCGUAAAAUUGCAAUUGAUACUGGCAGCCUUGAGUCCAGUUGAGGUAGGCGGAAUUCGUUGUGUAGCGGUGCAAUGCUUAGAUAUCACG